AGCUCAAAUUUAAAAUCUGGUGGUCUUUGGCCAUCCGAGUUGUAAUCUAGAGAAGUGUUACCCGCGUCGGACCGUGUACAAGUCUCCUGGAAUGGAGCGUCAUAGAGGGUGAGAAUCCCGUCUUUGACACGGACUACCGAGGCUUUGUGGUGCGCUCUCAACGAGUCGAGUUGUUUGGGAAUGCAGCUCAAAAUGGGUGGUAAAUUCCAUCUAAAGCUAAAUAUUGGCGAGAGACCGAUAGCGAACAAGUACCGUGAGGGAAAGAUGAAAAGAACUUUGGAAAGAGAGUUAAACAGUACGUGAAAUUGCUAAAAGGGAAACGCUUGAAGUCAGUCGCGUUGGCCGGAAAUCAGCCUUGCUUUUGCUGGGUGUACUUUCUGGUUGACGGGCCAGCAUCAGUUUUGACCGGUGGAAAAAGUUCGAGGGAAUGUGGCAUCUUCGGAUGUGUUAUAGCCCUUGGUCGUAUACAUCGGUUGGGACUGAGGAACUCAGCACGCCGAAAGGCCGGGUCUUUGACCACGUUCGUGCUUAGGAUGCUGGCAUAAUGGCUUUAAUCGACCCGUCUUGAAACACGGACCAAGGAGUCUAACAUGCCUGCGAGUGUUUGGGUGGAAAACCCGGACGCGUAAUGAAAGUGAAAGUCGAGAUCCCUGUCAUGGGGAGCAUCGACGCCCGGACCAGANGUUUUCUGACGGCCCUGCGGUAGAGCAUGUAUGUUGGGACCCGAAAGAUGGUGAACUAUGCCUGAAUAGGGUGAAGCCAGAGGAAACUCUGGUGGAGGCUCGUAGCGAUUCUGACGUGCAAAUCGAUCGUCAAAUUUGGGUAUAGGGGCGAAAGACUAAUCGAACCAUCUA
Molecule: ribosomal RNA, 854 nt
Filed under: Psathyrella microrhiza
Lineage: Eukaryota; Fungi; Basidiomycota; Agaricomycetes; Agaricales; Psathyrellaceae
Description: eukaryotic LSU rRNA
Rfam family: Eukaryotic large subunit ribosomal RNA
Source: RNAcentral